UACGGGGGGAGCAAGCGUUGUUCGGAUUUACUGGGCGUAAAGGGCGUGUAGGCGGCCUGUGCAAGUCAGUUGUGAAAUCUCCGGGCUUAACUCGGAACGGUCAACUGAUACUGCUCGGCUAGAGUGCGGAAGGGGCAACUGGAAUUCUUGGUGUAGCGGUGAAAUGCGUAGAUAUCAAGAGGAACACCUGCGGCGAAGGCGGGUUGCUGGGCCGACACUGACGCUGAUGCGCGAAAGCUAGGGGAGCGAACGGG
Molecule: ribosomal RNA, 254 nt
Filed under: uncultured bacterium
Lineage: Bacteria
Description: partial 16S ribosomal RNA
Rfam family: Bacterial small subunit ribosomal RNA
Source: RNAcentral